This 552-nucleotide ribosomal RNA is filed under the name uncultured eukaryote. RNAcentral describes it as "bacterial SSU rRNA". It matches the Rfam family "Eukaryotic small subunit ribosomal RNA", at positions 4 to 566 of the family's 1831-position model. The record is from RNAcentral.
CUGGUUGAUCCUGCCAGUAGUCAUACGCUUGUCUCAAAGAUUAAGCCAUGCAUGUCUAAGUAUAAGCACUUGUACUGUGAAACUGCGAAUGGCUCAUUACAUCAGUUAUAGUUUACUUGAUAGUCCCUGCUACAUGGAUAACCGUAGUAACUCUAGAGCUAAUACAUGCGACAACCCCCGACGCAAGGAGGGGCGUAUUUAUUAGAUACAAACCAACCCCGCAAGGGCGACGGUGAAUCAUGAUAACUGAGCGGACCGCACGGCAGCAAUGCCGGCGGUGGUUCAUUCAAGUUUCUGCCCUAUCAGCUUUCGAUGGUAGGGUAUUGGCCUACCAUGGCGUUGACGGGUAACGGAGAAUUAGGGUUCGGUUCCGGAGAGGGGGCCUGAGAGAUGGCCACUAUUCGUACGCGAAGCAGCAGGCGCGAAAAUUACCCAAUCCCGACUCGGGGUGGUAGUGACAAGAAAUAUCAAUGCGGGGGGGUUUCCUCCUGCAAUUGGAAUGAGUACAACUUAAAUCCCUUAACAAGGAUCCAUUGGAGGGCAAGUCUGGUA